GGCCUGGCGGCCUUCGGUGGCGGCACAGCCCGGCCCGGCCCGGCCCGGCCCAGGGGCAGGCCGCUGCCGUGGUAUUUCCCAGCUCCUGGGCGCUGCUUGAGGUUAGGAGAAGGGAGAAAGAAGCAAUUCGUUUCGUAAAUGUGGGUCAGCGUUUUCUUUAUCCAGUCAGCUUGACCUACUUAGUUUCUGAAUGUGGAGUAAUGAAAUUGUGACGAUAACUUACAGCUUCCUGCUGGAGUUUGUCAGGCAUCUUUAAUCUAAAGAAAGAACUACAGAGAAGAACUGCAUGUUUACUAGACUAUUAACACAAGAAAAACGCUUUAUAACUGACUGCUUCACCCUUUCCCUGAACUUCCUAUGCAGAGCUUAUGGUGAUUGAUUUUAAAGGAGGAGUAGCUUGAUGAUGCCAUUAAGAAUCAGAGAAGAAAUCAAAGACUGGAAGGUGAAAUUUGAAUGAAAAUUGACUUCUCAUGGGUUCCAAUCUGAAGAAAUUACCAUACAACAGGAUUCACUAGAUUUUUGGAAGAGCUCAAUGUUCUUUAGGCUCUCAAAUGAAGGAGUCAUUUUUUCAUGAGCACUCUUUGUGUACAGAGUGCUGGGUGCCUGUUGUAUGGUUUAUUCAAGAAACUUUAACAUAUACAGCUUCUUCUCCACUGUUUGCAGCCUCCUGGCAAAAGAGUCAGUGUUUGUCUCAAAAAAUUCAAAGGCAGUGCUGUACCUGGUCUCUUCUUUAAUGGUGGACAUCAGCCUCAGAGGCACCACACGGCAGAAAGCCUCAGCGUUUCUCAUCGCCAAGUUAAGCUGUGGGCAGAGGCUGUGGGCACAGACGCAGGGGGGUGAAUUCACCCGUUGUGCAGGAAGCAGUUAAUCUCACCACCGCAGUCUGGUAGGGAUUGACUAGCGUUUUUUCAGAGGGUAAGGAAAUGCCGUGACUUAAGAGAUAACUUCAGUCAGGGUUUUUUUUAAGCAUAGUGUUAAUAGGUGAAACACUGAAAUAUUCCUGGAGAAAGCUGAUUUGCAUCCAAAGUGCUUUAUAAAACGAGCUUUUAAAAGAAACCCCAGUAAGUAAAUGCAAAUAUUGUUCUUAGCAUAUAUUAAAUGUUCUCAGCAAGUACUACAGCUCUGCUACCCAUUAGUACAGUGCGCUCCCAGCUCCCUAAGUGUGCUCACCGCAGGUAGCUGAGCUUAUAAAAGGGCAGCGUGGCUUGCCGGGCGAUGCAGGCAGCCGCAGAGCAGCCGCAGCACCGGCAGGGCAGGUUCAGCAGGGCGGGGCGGCAGCGCGGGGCCGUCCCGGCUGCGGGGGACACCUGGCGGCGGGGAGCGGCAGCGGGCGGGAGCGGGGCUGGCCCGGGCCGCGGGAGAGAAGUCGGGAAGGGCCGGGGAGGGUUCUUGCUGAAGAAGAUCCUGAGGGAGUCUGGGUCGCAACUGGUCUGGUCAUUCAGUUUUCCUUCAAAGCAGGAGUUGCAGCUCUUGUUCAACGUGAAUGAGGGCAUGGAGGGAAGAUGCAGCAGUUGCGGCUGGGGCUGAGCUGCGGGAAGGCAGCUCUUCUGGGAACAAAAAGGGGCUCAUGGAAAUAAGCGGCUGGAGCACAGCAGUGAUGUGAACCUGGCAGCACAGAAAUCAGAGACAAGUACUGCCUGCCACACUCUCUGCACACUUACACCUCUCCUGAUUCUUUCUCUUUCCACUGACAUUUCCCAGACUAGUUUAUAAAGGAAGGAACCCUCCAGGAAGGACACCGUCUAUACCGUCUUUGAAAUGGGAAAAUACACUGUCCCUUUCACUCAAAAUGUUCUGGGUUUUUCCUGAGGAUCCUUGUCAAGACAAUAAUAAGGCUAUUCCUGUGAUCUUGCUUUAGUACAGAGACAGUCGGCUGCCUGACUGGACUAGUGAUUUUGAGUAGAAAUGAUAACAUUAAAAAAUACCGUCUUAACCAAAAAAAUAAUGCUCAGUAAGUCAUCCAGACACUAACUAAUGAAUUUAAUAUUUGCCAGUGCUUUUAGAGUAAAUGUUGACACCUUAAAUUUUGUUCUAAUAAGCCUGCAUGAACCUAUGCUUAAAUUUAUGACUGUGAACUGUAUUUCUUGAUUUAAAAUAUAUAUUAAAGGAACAGUUAAGCACAAAAAUGGAAAA
Long non-coding RNA from Apus apus (common swift), 2133 nucleotides. RefSeq lists it as uncharacterized. NCBI's taxonomy places the organism in Eukaryota, Metazoa, Chordata, Aves, Apodiformes, Apodidae. The transcript has 6 exons. The record is from RefSeq and is a predicted model, not a curated record.